This 1598-nucleotide long non-coding RNA is filed under the name Carica papaya (papaya). Its description in RNAcentral is "long non-coding RNA (CPAP_LNC007668)". The record is from RNAcentral. Lineage: Eukaryota; Viridiplantae; Streptophyta; Magnoliopsida; Brassicales; Caricaceae.
GCACCAUUUUUAACUUGGACUGUCAAUAUAUCAUACAUAUUGCAGAUGUAAUACAAGUGAUACAAACACUAAGUCUCUUUGUGCUUGGGUUGGACAGUCCAAUUGUAUAGAAUGUUAAAUCCAUUUUCUGCACAUAAAACAACCAUACCAUGGCACAAACAAUAAUCCUACAUAAAACAACACCAGUAGGUGAUUUAUCUUCCAUAAAUAAAACAUGUGCAAUAGCUAGAACAUAGAGAACAAGCUUCAUAGGAAGCCAUGAUGAAGCCACAGCUGGCAAUGAUAAUACAGAAAAGUUUACUUGAAGGGAGUAAUCCAACAUUUAAUUUAAAUCAAGCUUCUUUUUUCUUUUUAAAUGAAAAACCAGCUUCUUUGAUGACUCAGCAAAUUCGAGAACGCUUUUAUUGGAACCAAUUUCAAGGCGGUAUCUGUUCCAGAAAUGCUUUAAUCGGGUGCAAACGGGGCCUGACCAGUUUUCCUUUCCACAGGACUACGUUGCUUAGUGUUUAAGGUUGAGGAAGCCCUAUGGACAACCAAAGAAGCAAACAUGGCGGAAAGCUUGAUAUUUUCACACUUCAAACAAAUAUUUGGAUUUGGAAUUUGGAAACAUGUACAGAACAAAUUCUAGACGAAAAAUUCCCAACAAAUUCUAGUUCUUUUCUUCUUCUUUUUUUCCCAAUUUGGAAUUUGGUAAGAUUGGAAACAUGUACAGAACAUUCUAGACGAAGAAUCAACCAGAGGAUUUCAUUAUGUCUCUUUUGACAUGGAAUUGUUUGAACAAUUUCAAACAUGAAAUCCUUGAUUUUAAAUUAGAUUAUCUUCCUUUUGUUCUUUUCAGAAUCCACUUAAUUUGUUGCAAACAUAGUGUGAAAUAACAAAUUCGUUGACCAGAACGUAAUUACAACUCCAUUAAAUACGUAGGCAGUAGUUCACAACAAUUGUGGAUUCAGCAAUACUAUCAGUGGAUAUCAGAUCACACAAAAACCACCAAAUUAACUGGUAAUCAAGCAGACGUAAAAAAAAAAUCAAUAAACGGAAUGGCUUCUAAGCAAACUGAAGUACUAAAGAGAAAAAACUGAGGAGAAAGAGCAUACUCGAGAUGACGAGAGACUGUUAAGCUCUGCUAUGGCAACCUCGUGUCUUCUUACCUGAUUGCGGCCGCACACGCUAAUAAAUAACCAUAAACAGACGAGAGAGAGAGAGAGAGAGAGAGAGAGAGAGAGAGAGAGAGGAAACCUGUUUAACGAGAUUGAUUUUAGAGUUUGCGCCGUCGGAGGACGAGGGGGCUGCCAUGGUUCCGGAUUCGUGCUUCCAACAAGGGAGAGACUUUUUUGUUUCAAGAUAAAAAAGCGGUGUGUUUUAAAAAUACUUUUAAAUAAAAAAACACACAGUCAUUACUAAAUUUUAUUUUAAAAAUAAUUUUAAAAUAAAGUAAUAUUAUAUUAUAUUUGAUUAAUUUUGAUAUAUUCUAAAACUAAUAAUAAAUAUUAAAAUAAUAAUAUUAAUAUAGAGUUUAGAUCUUGCUACCUUAUUGGUUACUUAUUCAUAAUUUAAACUUGUAAUUUUAAUUACUUUAUUUUAACUACUAGUACGAUUAU